UCUGCUGCACUCCUGCAUUCUCAUUAUACUGCUGGGCCAUACUAAUUACAAUCAAUCUGAGGUGACUACGUAUGACCUUCGGAGCGGUGAGGAAUUCACGACUGUGAGAUUUACGGAUGUUGCGACCCAAGGCGCGGGUUCAGUGAACUCUGAUAUUAGAAGUGUUCAGGCUGGCAGAUAGCGUCGGGGAGCAUAGUAUGGAAUUGGUUGGAGAUUUGAGACGUGACUGUACUGAGAGAUUUCCACAUCCUUCAGCAUCCUGUAUUUAUGAAGAUAUGAAGAUAUGUUGAAGAAUGGUAGUAAAUUACCAUAAUGCUGGUAAUAUGGUAAGAAUGCUGGUGUUCCACAGAAGAAAGGUGGGUGAAGAGGGUAAAGAGAGUAAAAAAU
This is a long non-coding RNA of Labeo rohita (rohu), 387 nucleotides long. RefSeq lists it as uncharacterized. Lineage: Eukaryota; Metazoa; Chordata; Actinopteri; Cypriniformes; Cyprinidae. The record is from RefSeq and is a predicted model, not a curated record. The transcript is spliced from 3 exons.